CCGGCGAACCCGUAAGGAAGACACAAACGAGUAAUUUAUUGCUCACAUAAAUCUUCUGGAAAAGUCCCCGGACACUUAGCAGAGAUGUUAAGUUUAACACUGAAACAAUGCCUCAUUGUCGCCUUAAUGGCUAAGACCGUAAGAGAGCCAGCGAUAGAGGCAUCAUUUGGUCUAAGCAAAGUCAUUCGGGUGGUUGGUGUCAGCGCCAUCUCAACGGGGCUUAACGUCG
Molecule: RNase MRP RNA, 229 nt
Filed under: Helobdella robusta
Lineage: Eukaryota; Metazoa; Annelida; Clitellata; Rhynchobdellida; Glossiphoniidae
Description: rNase MRP
Rfam family: RNase MRP
About the family: RNase MRP is an enzymatically active ribonucleoprotein with two distinct roles in eukaryotes.
Source: RNAcentral